CUGGUUGAUCCUGCCAGUAGUCAUAUGCUUGUCUCAAAGAUUAAGCCAUGCAUGUCUGAGUAUAARCAUCAAUACUGUAAAACCGCGGACGGCUCAUUAUAACAGUAAUAAUCAAAGAUACAUAAUCCUUCGGGAUUGGAUAACUGCGGAAAAUCUGGAGCUAAUACAUAGAAAUCGCUUCCCACUGUGGAAGUACUUUCAAUGCUAUGGUGGACGGGGGCAACCCUGGAAACUUGAUAGGAGAUUAAAAUGAAAGCGCAUGCUUUAUUGCGGCGCGUUGUAUCUAGAAUUACUGACCCAUCAACCAGAUGGUAAUGUAGUGGAUUACCAUAGUCUUAACGGGUCACGGGGAAUUAGGGUUUGAUUCCGGAGAGGGCGCCUGAGAGACGGCACCUACUUCUAAGGAAGGCAGCAGGCGCGCAAAUUACCCAAUUCUAGUGCAGAGAGGUAGUGACAAGGAAUAGCAAUGUAGCUUCCGAAUAGGGAGUUACAAUUGAAAUGAGCGGGGAGUAAACACCCCUACGAGUAUCAAUUGGAGGGAAAGUCUGGUGCCAGCAGCCGCGGUAAUUCCAGCUCCAAGAGCAUAUAUUAAAGUUGCUGCAGUUAAAACGCCCGUAGCCGAAGUCAUGUCGGAUUCUUCUGGUCUACCUCUCUCAAAGGGGCUGUGUACUAUUGGGGUCCGAUAUGUCUUCGAUUGCAAGAUAGCAUAGACUUAAUUGCCUGUGUUCCCUGUUGCAAUCCUUUUAUUGUGAAUAAAUCAAACUGCUCAAAGGAGAUAGUGUGUCAUGAAUGAUUAAGCAUGAGAUAAUAGAAUAGGAAUGCUUCAAGGGCCGCCCCUUGUCGUGUUAAUGAUUAAUAGGAAGUGUGCGGGGAUAUCCUUAUUUUGUGAGAAGAGGUGAAAUUCUAUGAUUCAUAAAAGAAGAACGAAAGCAUAAGCAGUUGUCUAGCAACUUUCCAUUGGUCAAGGACGAAAGUUUGGGGAUCGAAGACGAUCAGAUACCGUCGUAGUCCAAACUAUAAACGAUGUCGCCUGGAGAUUUUACGAUGUUACUAUAUGACCCCUAGAGUACCCUGUGGGAAACCAUAAGCUCAUGGACUCUGGGGGGAGUAUGGUCGCAAGGCUGAAACUUAAAAGAAUUGACGGAAGAUCACCACCAGGAGUGGAACCUGCGGCUUAAUUUGACUCAACACGGGAAAGCUCACCAGGUCCGGACACUUGUAUGAUUGACAGAUUGAUAGCUCUUUCUUGAUUAGGUGGGUGGUGGUGCAUGGCCGUUCUUAGUUGGUGGAGUGAUUUGUCUGGUUUAUUCCGAUAACGAACGAGAUCUUGAUUCAUUAAAUAGUGUAUGCGACCCCUAUCGGGUGAAGUACUAUAGUACUGGCUUCUCUUCACGGAGGGGUUAGGACUGUGGGAUGGAUCCUUGGGUCAUCGUAUAUAUCUUCUUAGAAGGACUACCUACGGUAAGUGGGUGGAAGUUCAAGGCAAUAACAGGUCUGUGAUGCCCUUAGAUGUUCUGGGCUGCACGCGCGUUACACUGGUAGGAUUGACGAGCUCUUUUUACCUUGGCCGACAGGUCUGGGGAAUCUUUUAAUUCUUACCGUGCUGGGGAUAGAUGAUUGUAAUUAUUUGUUUUGAACGAGGAAUUCCUAGUAAGCAUAGGUCAUCAACCUGUGCUGAUUACGUCCCUGGUCUUUGUACACACCGCCCGUCGCUCCUACCGAUUGAGUAUUCCGGUGAAAUCUUUGGAUUGGAACUCCGCUGUAGGGUGACCUGUAAGAGUAUCGAGAAAUUGAGUAAACCAUCUUACUUAGAGGAAGGAGAAGUCGUAACAAGGUAUUCGUAGGUGAACCUGCAGAAGAUCAGCUUGGAUGCCCGGG
RNAcentral lists this ribosomal RNA (1878 nucleotides) under Soliformovum expulsum. RNAcentral describes it as "SSU rRNA". It matches the Rfam family "Eukaryotic small subunit ribosomal RNA". Lineage: Eukaryota; Evosea; Variosea; Fractovitellida; Soliformoviidae. The record is from RNAcentral.